AAGGCAGUGGAUUGUGAAUCCACCAUGCGCGGGUUCAAUUCCCGUCGYUCGCC
RNAcentral lists this transfer RNA (53 nucleotides) under Solanum nigrum (black nightshade). RNAcentral's name for it is "partial tranfer RNA-His". It matches the Rfam family "tRNA", at positions 20 to 71 of the family's 71-position model. From Rfam's summary of the family: Transfer RNA (tRNA) molecules are approximately 80 nucleotides in length. Their secondary structure includes four short double-helical elements and three loops (D, anti-codon, and T loops). Further hydrogen bonds mediate the characteristic L-shaped molecular structure. tRNAs have two regions of fundamental functional importance: the anti-codon, which is responsible for specific mRNA codon recognition, and the 3' end, to which the tRNAs corresponding amino acid is attached (by aminoacyl-tRNA synthetases). tRNAs cope with the degeneracy of the genetic code in two manners: having more than one tRNA (with a specific anti-codon) for a particular amino acid; and 'wobble' base-pairing, i.e. permitting non-standard base-pairing at the 3rd anti-codon position. The record is from RNAcentral. Lineage: Eukaryota; Viridiplantae; Streptophyta; Magnoliopsida; Solanales; Solanaceae.